This 254-nucleotide long non-coding RNA is filed under the name Lotus japonicus. Its description in RNAcentral is "long non-coding RNA (LJAP_LNC000304)". Lineage: Eukaryota; Viridiplantae; Streptophyta; Magnoliopsida; Fabales; Fabaceae. The record is from RNAcentral.
UCAACAUUCAGCCAUAAAAUUGAAACAAUUUCUACAAAAGCUUCAUACCACGUCCUUAAAGCUUCAUUUUCUCUAAACUUCAGCAUAUCUACCAAUAUAUAUAUACAAAAGCUUCAUAAAUCUGAAACAAUUUCUAAAGUGCAUAAUCAGCCACGUCCUUAAACUUCAUCUACCACUAUCUAAUAGUUAUCUAAUAGAUUAACUACUAAAAAAAAUUGUUAAAUACAUAAGCGGCCCACUCAUAUUUAACUUCA